AGACGGAGCCUCUGUCUGUCACCAGGCAGGAGUGCAGUGGUGAGAUCUCGGCUCACUGCAAUCUCCGCCUCUUGGGUUCAAGCGAUUCUUCUGCCUCAGCCUCCCGAGUAGCUGGGACUACAGACACGUGCCACCAUGCCCAGCUAAUUUUUGUAUUUUUAGUGGAGAGAAGGUUUCACCGUGUUGGCCAGGAUGGUCUCGAUCUCUUGACCUCGUGAUACGUCUGCCUUGGCCUCCCAAAGUGGUGAGAUUACAGGCGUGAGCCACGGUGCCCGGCCAAUCUGUUGAAUGUUUAAGGGCAGUACAUAGACAAUGGUUUAUAUUGUCAGUGUUCCUAUUGUGGGGUAAGAUGGUGUGCUCGUGGUCAUUUAUUGUGCCACAUUUAAAAUACAGACAAAUUAGGCCGGGCACUGUGGCUCACACCUGUAAUCUCAGCAUUUUGGGAGGCUGAGGCAUGCGGAUCACCCGAGGUCAGGUUGCCCCGGCUGGAGUGCAGUGGUGCGAUCUCGGCUCACUGCAACCUCCGCCUCCUGGGUUCAAGCGGUUCUCCUGCCUCAGCCUCCUGAGUAGCUGGGAUUACAGGCACACACUGCCACGCCUGGCUAAUUUUUUGUAUUUUAGUAGAGACAGGGUUUCACCGUCUUGAACUCUUGAGCUCAGACAAUCUGUCCGCCUGGGCCUCCCAAAGUGUUGGAAUUACAGGGGUGGACCACCGCGCCUGUAAUUUUGGGUUCACAGCAAAAUUGAGCAGAAGGUACAGAGAUUAUUUCCCAUAUGCCCUUUGUCCUUCUGCAUGUAUAGCCUCCCCUGUUAUCAACAUCCACCCCAUUAGAGUAGUGCUUUUGUUAUAAUCUACAUUGGCAUAUCAUAAUCACCCAAAGUCCAUAGUUUACAAUAGGGUGCACUCUUGGUGUUGUACAUUAUGUGGUUUUGGACAAAUUUAUAAUGACAUAUAUCCACCAUUAUAGUAUCAUACAAAAUACCACAAUGCUCUGAACAUCCUCUGGGUUCUGCCUAGUCAUCCCUCCCUCCCCUACCAACCCGUGGCAACCACUGAUCUUUUAUUGUCUCUGUAGUUUUGCCUUUUCCAGAAUGUCAUACAGUUGAAAUCAUACAAUACGUGGCCUUUUCAGAUUGGCUUCUUUCACAAGUACUCUGCAUUUAAGGUUCUUCCAUGUUAAGCAUAGCUUGAUCGCUCUUUUUUUUAGUGCUGAAUAAUAUUCCAUUUUCUAGGUUUACCACAGUUGAUUUAUCCAUUCACCUACUGAAGGAUAUCUUGGUUUCUUCCAAGUUUUGGCAAUUAUGAAAAAAGCUGGUAUAAACGUGUGUGUGCAGGUUUUUGUGUGGAUAUAAUUUUUCAACUAUGGGUAAAUACCAAGGUGCAUGAUUGCUGGAUUGUAUGGUAAAACUAUGUUUAGUUGUAGAAGAAACUGCCAAACUGUCUUCCAAUGUGAUUGUGUUGAUUUUGUAUUCCUACCAGCAAUGAAUGAGAGUUCUUGUGACUCCACGUUUUUGCCAUCAUUUGGUGUUGUUAGUGUUCUGCAUUUUGGUCAUUCUAAUAGGUGUGCGGUGGUAUCUCGUUGUUUUAAUUUGCAUUUUCCCAAUAAUAUAUGAUGUGGAGCACGUUUUCAUGUGAUUAUUUGCCACCCUUAUAUCUUUGUUGGUGAGGUGUCUGUUAAGGUCUUUGGCCCAUUUUAAAAUCUGAUCACUUUCUUAUUGUUGAGUGUUUUUGUUUGUUUGCUUGUUUUUGAGACAGAGUCUCACUCCGUCACCAGGCUGAUCUUGGCUCACUGCAACCGCCAUUUCCCGGGUUCAAGCGAUUCUCCUCCCUCAGCCUCCCAAGUAGCUGAAACUACAAGUGCUCGUCACCAUGCCCAGCUAAUUUUUGUAUUUUUAGUAGAGACGGGGUUUCACCAUGUUGGCCAGGAUGGUCUUGAUCUCUUGACCUCGUGAUCUGCCCACCUUGGCCUCCCAAAGGGCUGGGAGCCACCAUGCCCAGCCUAUUGUUGAGUUUUAAGAGUAUUUUGUGUAUUUUGUAUAAUAGUGCUUUAUCCAAUAUGUCUUUUGCAAAUAUCUUCUCCUAAUUUGUUGCUUGUCUUUUCAUUUUCUUGACAGUUUCUUUAUGGAGCAGAAAUUUUGAAAGUUCAAAGAUCAGUUGAUUAUAUUUAUGUGAGUCUAUUUCUGGGCUUUCUACUCUGUUCCAUUGAUCUAUUUGUCUGUUCUUUUGCCAAUACCACACUGUCUAUUACUGUAGCUUUGUAGUAAGUUUUGAAUAUGGGUAUUGCCAGUCCUCCAACUUUGUUCUUCUCUUCAAUGUUGUGUUGGCAAUUCUGGGUCUUUUGCCUCUCCAUGUAAACUUUAGGACAGUUUUGUCAAUAUCCACAAAAUAACUUCCUGGGGUUUUUAUUGGGAUUGCAUUGAAUCAAGCUGGGAAGAACUGACAUCUUGACAAUAUUGGACUUUCCUAUCCAUAAUCUCCAUAACUUCUUCCACAAUGGCUGUACUAAAUUACAUUCCUACCAACAAUGUAGAAGAGUUCCCUUUUCUCUGCAUCCUUGCCAUCAUUUGUUACCUUUCAUUUUUUUGAUGAAAGCCAUUCUAAAAGAUAAGAGAUGAUAUCUCAUUGUGAUUUUAAUUUGUGUUUCCCUAGUGAUUAGAGUGACUGAUAAUUUUUUUAUAUAUCUGUUGGCCAUUAGUAUGUCUUCUUUGGGAAAAUAUCUGUCCAAAUCAUGUGUCUAUUUUUAAAUUGGGUUUUCUUGCUAUUGAAUUGUUUGUGUUCCUUAUAUAUUUUGCAUAUUAACCCCUAUGAGAUGUAUGGUUUGCAGAUUUGUUUUCCUGACCUGGAAGUUGUCUCUUCAUUUUGUUAAUUGUUCCUUUGCUGGGCAUAAGGUUUUUAAUUUGAUGACAUUCUACUUGUCUAUUUUUACUUUUGUUGUCUGUGUUUUUGGGGUCUUAUUAAAAAAAUCAUUGUCUAUGCCAAUGUUGUGGAGCUUUUCCUCUAGUAGUUUUAUAGUUUCAGAUUUUAUGUUGAAGUUUUUAAUCCAUUUUGAGUUGAUUUUUGUAUAUUGGGUGAGAUAAAGAUCUAAUUUCAUUCUGCAUGUUGAUAACCAGUUUUCCCAAAACCAUUUAUUGAAGAUACUGUCUUUUUCCCAUUGUGUUCUCUCGGCACCUUUGUCCAAAAUCAAUUGAUUGUAAAUGUGUGAGUUUAUUUAUGAACUUUUAAUUCUGCUCCAUUGGCUGAUGUAUCUGUUUUUAUGCCAGUAUUAUGCUGUUUUGAUUAUAAUCACUUUAUAAUAUAUUUUGAAGUCAGGGAUGUAAUGCCUCCAGCUUUGUUCUUUUUGUUUAAGAUUUUUUGUAUGUGGCUAUUCAGUGUCUUUUGUGGUUCUAUAUGGAUUUAAGGAUUUCCCCCCCUAUUUCUAUGCAAAAUGACAUUGGAAUUUUAAUAGGAAUUGAAUUGAACCUGUAAAUGGGUUUAGGUAGCAUAGACACUUUAACAAUUUUAGUUCUUUCAACCCAUGAACACAGGGUAUAUUUCCAUUUAUUUGUGUUUUCUUCAAUUUCUUUCACUAGUGUUUUAUAGUUUUCAGCAUACAGGUCUUUCACCAUCUAGGUUAAAUUUAGACAAUAUUUUUG
RNAcentral lists this long non-coding RNA (3633 nucleotides) under Homo sapiens (human). RNAcentral's name for it is "HSALNT0379224". The record is from RNAcentral. Lineage: Eukaryota; Metazoa; Chordata; Mammalia; Primates; Hominidae.